AAACUCUGACCCAGCGACGCCGCGUGCGGGAUGAAGGCCUUCGGGUUGUAAACCGCUUUCAGCAGGGAAGAAGCGAAAGUGACGGUACCUGCAGAAGAAGCACCGGCUAACUAUGUGCCAGCAGCCGCGGUAAUACAUAGGGUGCAAGCGUUGUCCGGAAUUAUUGGGCGUAAAGAGCUCGUAGGUGGUUCGUCACGUCGGAUGUGAAACUCUGGGGCUUAACCCCAGACCUGCAUUCGAUACGGGCGAGCUUGAGUAUGGUAGGGGAGUCUGGAAUUCCUGGUGUAGCGGUGGAAUGCGCAGAUAUCAGGAGGAACACCAAUGGCGAAGGCAGGACUCUGGGCCAUUACUGACACUGAGGAGCGAAAGCGUGGGGAGCGAACAGGAUUAGAUACCCUGGUAGUCCACGCCGUAAACGGUGGGCACUAGUUGUGGGGACCUUCCACGGUCUCU
This 453-nucleotide ribosomal RNA is filed under the name Gram-positive bacterium Z8. RNAcentral describes it as "bacterial SSU rRNA". It matches the Rfam family "Bacterial small subunit ribosomal RNA", at positions 378 to 842 of the family's 1533-position model. The record is from RNAcentral.